UGGGGAAUUUUGGACAAUGGGCGCAAGCCUGAUCCAGCCAUGCCGCGUGAGUGAAGAAGGCCUUCGGGUUGUAAAGCUCUUUCGGUGAAGACGAAACGGUUAGCGCUAAUAACGCUGACUAAUGACGGUACUCACAGAAGAAGCACCGGCUAACUACGUGCCAGCAGCCGCGGUAAUACGUAGGGUGCAGGCGUUAAUCGGAAUUACUGGGCGUAAAGCGUGCGCAGGCGGCUUUGCAAGACAGAUGUGAAAUCCCCGGGCUCAACCUGGGAACUGCAUUUGUGACUGCAUCGCUAGAGUACGGCAGAGGGGGAUGGAAUUCCGCGUGUAGCAGUGAAAUGCGUAGAUAUGCGGAGGAACACCGAUGGCGAAGGCAAUCCCCUGGGCCUGUACUGACGCUCAUGCACGAAAGCGUGGGGAGCAAA
This 425-nucleotide ribosomal RNA is filed under the name uncultured bacterium. Its description in RNAcentral is "bacterial SSU rRNA". It matches the Rfam family "Bacterial small subunit ribosomal RNA", at positions 355 to 772 of the family's 1533-position model. The record is from RNAcentral.